Molecule: ribosomal RNA, 253 nt
Filed under: uncultured bacterium
Lineage: Bacteria
Description: partial 16S ribosomal RNA
Rfam family: Bacterial small subunit ribosomal RNA
Source: RNAcentral
UACGAGGGGGGCGAGCGUUGUUCGGAAUUAUUGGGCGUAAAGGGUGCGUAGGCGGUUCCGCAAGUCCUGUGUGAAAUCUUCGGGCUCAACUCGAAGUCUGCACGGGAAACUGCGGGGCUUGAGUGUGGGAGAGGUGAGUGGAAUUCCCGGUGUAGCGGUGAAAUGCGUAGAUAUUGGGAGGAACACCAGUGGCGAAGGCGGCUCACUGGACCGGUUCUGACGCUGAAGCGCGAAAGCGUGGGGAGCAAACGGG